GACGAACGCUGGCGGCGUGCAUAACACAUGCAAGUCGAACGGUAAGGCCCUUCGGGGUACACGAGUGGCGAACGGGUGAGUAACACGUGGGUGAUCUGCCCUGCACUUCGGGAUAAGCCUGGGAAACUGGGUCUAAUACCGGAUAGGACCACUGCCUGCAUGGGUGGUGGUGGAGAGCUUUUGCGGUGUGGGAUGGGCCCGCGGCCUAUCAGCUUGUUGGUGGGGUGAUGGCCUACCAAGGCGACGACGGGUAGCCGGCCUGAGAGGGUGACCGGCCACACUGGGACUGAGAUACGGCCCAGACUCCUACGGGAGGCAGCAGUGGGGAAUAUUGCACAAUGGGCGCAAGCCUGAUGCAGCGACGCCGCGUGAGGGAUGACGGCCUUCGGGUUGUAAACCUCUUUCAGCACCGACGAAGCGCAAGUGACGGUAGGUGCAGAAGAAGGACCGGCCAACUACGUGCCAGCCGCCGCAGUAA
RNAcentral lists this ribosomal RNA (478 nucleotides) under uncultured bacterium. Its description in RNAcentral is "partial 16S ribosomal RNA". It matches the Rfam family "Bacterial small subunit ribosomal RNA", at positions 28 to 523 of the family's 1533-position model. The record is from RNAcentral.